GAGGGAGCCCCUGCGCUCCGCGGCCGGGCGGAGAGCGAAGCCGGGCGCGUCCCGUCCCGCAGCCGGCUCCAGCCGCUCCGCAAGCCCCUGUGUACUCGCCGCUGCCCGCAAGCAGGAGGAGCAGAGGGAGGAGGAAGAGCAGCAGGAGGAGGAAGGCAGCCAGCAAAGCGAGCAGCCCGCAGCGGGGCACGCACGUGUGCGCGCAGCCUUUCGACGGCCGCCCUCCAGCAUGCUGCGCGGAGCUGCGCGGGGCAGCGCGGCGGAGAGGAGCUGACCGCGGGCGAAGAACGGAGCCGAGCAGAGCGGAGGAGCGGCUCCGCGGAAACCGCCGUGCAUCCGUCCCGUCCGGCCUCCCUCCGACACACACCCCUUCGAGGGAGCCGGCGGUCCCGCAGCAUGGGCGGCCGCAGCCCCCUCGCUGCCGCCGGCGCCGCUGUCCUGGUGCUGCUCCUGGGGCGCUUCGCUCUUUGCGUCGCCGUGGAGGAAAAGAAAGGUAAGGGAGGAAUAAGGGGCGGGGGGGAAUGAGGGGUCCUGCUGCCGCUUUGCCGGCUGCGACCCGAGGGACCGCGGAAGCCGUGGUGCGGGCGGCCUCCCGUGGGGAGCGGCGGAGGGAAAGUCCCAACUUCUUUCCUUAAUUAAAAAAGAGAGAGAGGAGACGGCGGAGGGAAUAGACCUAUAGCAGCGGUCACGCAGCUCCGACUUCCUGAUUCUAGGCUUAUUUUCUUUUGUGGGGGUGGAGGAAAUAAAAGGGAAUAAGUGUUGGCACAUCUCCUCGGUUGUGCUUCUCUCCUUUCGUGUUUCUUCCCCGCCACCUCCUCCUCCCCUGCCCAAGCGUUCCCCAGCCGGGCAGCGGGCUCAGCCCUGCCGUGGGGCUGUGGGCAGCGGGGCUGAGCUCCGAGUAAGCGCCGCUGCGGUAACCCCAGCCUGUGGCUCUGACCGGGACACCUCCGCUUGUCCUGUUGUAAGAAAAUAGAUAUAUAUACACCUGGGAAGGGAAAGAAGGGACGAUUCCCGCGGGUCCUGGCUCCCUAGUUAUUAAAGAGGAGCGUUUAUCCCUGUCUGACCCAGGCGAAGCAGCCGCCGGCGCUGUCCCCCCGGCACUGACCGCGGUGCGUGGGAACCGCCGGCUCCCGGGGUCUGGUGGGUUGGAGGGGUUCGGCGCCGGGUUGGGUGCUGGGGUUUUUGCUUUGAAAAAUUGGUUUAAAGAGUGAGAAAACGUUUCUGGCUGUUCAGAUCCGUCGCUUUUCCUCUGUGUGUGGUGGUCUCUUUUGUGAGUUUGGAGAGCAGGCCCCGGCUGCUGCUGUUCCAGGCUGAGUGCAGUCCUCUUUAUCUUGGAAAUCUGCCAGCCAGGAAAAAAUGCAGAUUUGGGUGGUUUGGGGUUUGUGUUUUUUUGGUUGGUUUUUCUUUUUUUCUUUCUCUCUUUUUAAAGAGAAAGCGGGAGAAGAGAGUUAAUAGUUUUUAGAAGGGCUGAUGCAUGGCUUAAAGUAACUGGGCUAGUCUUUUCGUGACUGUGGACAGUAAAACCGCCCUGAAAGGGAGGAACACCCCAUCCAAAAGAACUAGUUGCACAACCUUUAAAAAGUGGAGAGAUUCUCUUGUUCCAGAAAUCAAGUUCAUACCUGUUGUUAAUGUAACAUGGCCAGUUUUUCUUUCCCAGC
Molecule: long non-coding RNA, 1658 nt
Organism: Strigops habroptila (Kakapo)
Lineage: Eukaryota; Metazoa; Chordata; Aves; Psittaciformes; Psittacidae
Source: Ensembl